Tripterygium wilfordii is the source of this 3029-nucleotide long non-coding RNA. RefSeq lists it as uncharacterized. The transcript has 2 exons. NCBI's taxonomy places the organism in Eukaryota, Viridiplantae, Streptophyta, Magnoliopsida, Celastrales, Celastraceae. The record is from RefSeq and is a predicted model, not a curated record.
CAAUGAAGUACAACUGUGGGACACCUGUAAAGGCGUGUUCAUGAUGGUAUUUCUCCUUCAGUUUCCUCAUUACAUUGAUUUCGUGUAUACCCAUUAGGUUUUCCCUCUUUUAAUCAGGUUUCAUCGAAGCUUUUCCUUCAUUUUCUUGGGAGGAUAUUCGAUUGACCGAGUAAUUGGUAUUGACGUCUCUAUGUCUCUCUUCAAUGCUUUCGAUCUCUACGUACCAUAGUUUUUUGUCUGCAAAGAACGGUGCCAUCUUACCUGGAGAAGCCGUUUUGGGGAGAAUACUUGGUGAUAGCCGACUAUAACGGGUUGUUGUUUUGUGGUGUCGUCAAAUCCUAUUCACAGGUGAGAAAUUUUGAGUUUUUAGCAUUUAAUUUUCUGAUAUGAGGACUUUUAGUUGUAUCUUUAAAUUUAAUUUAAUACAAAAUGAUUGAUUUAUCUUUUUUUGUCAGUGCCAUGUCUUGAAUCUGAGGUUUUUUUUUAAAGCAAUGGGUUUGGUACUGUUAAUUUUGUUUUCACCGUUUGUACAGAUAAAAAAAAAAUCUAGAAUAAUGUACACAGAUGAAAAACAGAACAAUGAAAAUAGGACUGUAGUGGACUGCGUCUAUAAUUAUCACUAUAGUGACAAUUAGUGCAAGUUCAACUAUAUAGUAAUGAUGAUGUUUUCCAGUAAGUAUGGAUUAUAGACUGGACAAAUCAUCAGUAUAGUCAACAAUUGGGGGGAAAACAGGCUAAAGUAAUAGGCGAAAUUAUUUUCAUAUUUAAGGGGAAUGUAUUGGUUUAUCUAUCCUGAUCCAGGAGGAGGUUUGUCGUAUCUAAACCCAUAAAGGACUUUAGAAUCUGUAGAGUGUCAGUUGCAUUGUCCAUUUCAAUUGUUUAAUAUUGACUUAAUUUGCUUCGUUGGUUAUAUAGAGGUUGACACUUUAAAGAAGCCUUAUUUGCCUCUCCGAGAGGUACGUGUUCAAGUGUCUCAUUCCAUGCCACCAGAGAAGGUAGAGAGAUCUUCUGAGGUACUACUUACUCAAUGAUGGAUCUGCAAUUGAAAGCCCGAAAGAAAAAGAAGAAAAAGGCAGAUAAACAAAAGGGGAGGGGAGGGGAGUGGAGGGAAGGAAGAAGAUGAAAAGAACGAAAAGAAACAAAACCGAUAGACAUAAAGGUUAAAGUAGGAAUUGAAGAGUGAGGUGAGAAAAAACAAAGAAGUAAAACUGGAAAGGAGAGAAGAUAUCAGAUUUUUUAAAGAAAAGUGAAAAAAAAGAGCGGCAAAUAAGCAGAUAUUUAAGAAAAUAACAUGAUUUCAUUGAUAUACAAUAUUUUAUGGUUAUUGUGUUGGUUUCGUCCCUUUUGUUCUUCUAACAUAUGCUGUUGUCAUUUGUAUGUGCUUUGGCUUAUUUUAAGCUACAUUGAUGCUGAGUUUGCAAAUUUAAAUGUGUAGUAUGAAUAAAUGUAUAACGUAUAAUAUUUGUGAUCUGCUUGGUGGUUGGCGAUGCAGGGACGUCGAAACAAGUCAAAACAUGUCAUGGAUUUGGUUUGGAAUUUUUUUUUUCCCUUCUGAAAUCCAGUCAGUUAUAGUUUCAUAUUCAUAUUGUUGUGUCAGUUUUAUGUCUUGGUUUGGGUGGUGCGAAUGGUAAUGAGCUAGGUUUUGUCGAUAUUUGUAAUCAGUUAGAUUGGUUAGAGUUUAGCCCCUAUCGUUUGUUUCGAACCAAGUGUGACAGCAUUUCUGACCAUGGUUUGCUUUUGUGUAUUUGGUUGUUUAUUGUCUUUUAUUUACCUUAUCAUAUUUUUAACAUUUACUCCUCAUUAACCUGUAUUGAGUUCACAGGGUAUCAUCAUAAUUGGAUAGUGCGCUAAUAAUUAUAAACCGAGUAUUUGUUGCCCUAUUACAAAUAUUAGGGCAGAUUGACACUUCUGAAAUGGAAUACAUAUCAUACUGUGUGUUUUGUUUAUUUUCUCUUUUAUUUUUCUAGCAUAUGCAAUUGUUAUGUGUAUGUGCUUCAGCUUAUUUUAAGCAAUAUUGAUGCUAUUUUCUUGCUGAAUUUGCAGCUUUAAUGUGUAUUAGUAUGAAUAGAUGGUUAACAUAUAAUAUUAAUCAUUGCUACAUUGUUUUCACAUUUUCUAUAAUAUUUCGAACUUAUGUGACCGUUUGGUUAUCUAUAUAUCAUUAUAAAAUGACUUAAGAUUGGCGAAGAUAGAUUAGAAUUUUGGGAAGGAAGCAAGAAAACUCAAGUACCAUAGCUGAAUUGGAAGCAAGGAAUCUCAAGUACCAAACUACUGGGACUGAACUCUUCUUAUGGGGUUUGGGGUUUCUUCAUGAGGAUCUGCAGAUGGCUACUGGCAGCUUCAAUGCUGACAACAUUGGGGAGGGGUCUUUUUAACAGUUUUAUCGUGCUCAAUUUGAUGAUGGGAAGAUAUACUUCUCUUGCUUAUCAAAUUAUAUAAUUUAGCAUUCUGGGGAUUGAAAAAAUAUCUCUGGUUCAUUAAUGGUCAUCAUUUUGUAGGCAAGCUGAACUUUCUCCAGCUUACUGCUGUUUUGUCUUAUAGAUGACUUCUUUUAGUUGGGGUGGCAUUCCUGGUGCUUAAUAAUGUUCCUGCUUUGAAGAAGGCAUAUAUUGGAAUUGCUGUAGCUGAUGCUGCUAGAAGUGCUUCUGACAUUGUUCUCACUGAACCUGGGUUGACUGGGCUAUUUUUUGACUAGCUGGGUUAUUUUUCCAAAGGAUCAAGAACGAUACUGUCAGUCAUCAUUGCUUCUUAAGACCAUCACAAGGAGUAGUAGGGGAUUGAGUUGGUUCACAUGCGUAGGACAAAAAACUAGAAUAAUGUACAGAUAAGUAAAGAGAAUAUUGACACUGAGUACACAUAGUUCAAACUCCACAGUAAUGGGUGUGAUCUGGAUUAGGGGUUAAAUGGUUUGAAUUUAAAAGAAGACGAAUGAAAUUCAUGGUUACAUUCAGCAGCAACAGCAAGGUAAAAGACUACAGUGAACAACAAUCUAUUUGUCUUGAAAAUAAGAUAUUGUUCGUGUUGUUAAA